GCCAAUAUAACAGGACUAGUUAUAGCCUUAAUAUGUGGGUGGAAAACAGGUGGUGAAUGUGAUGCUAACACUAAUCUUGUAAAUAUGAGGGCUUCAAUCUUUAAAUUCGAUGUGGAAGAUUUUUCACAUAAUGCCUUCUCAAUUCCAGGAAUAAGGGAUCCAAUGUGAUCUGCUAGACAAUCAGGCAGAACAACCACGAGUUCUUUCAAAACUGAGAAGGCGCCAACCUUUGUCUUGACAGACUUCUCCCGAAGCUGCUUAUUUAAUGAUCUAACAAUCUUGGGCACUUCUUGCUUCAAUAGCCAUCUAGGACUUGAUUCAUUCAGAUCAGUCUGUCCUUUCGUAACAUUGCCUGUUUGUCGCAACAAUUCAGUGAAUGUACUGAACACAUCCAUCUUAACAUUCUCUUCCCUUUCUUUAAACCUAUCAAUCAACUUUGGACAAGCCUGCUCGUACAACUUUGAUAGCAUCUCAGGCCGUGUAACUACCAAUGCAGCUAAGCAUUUGGCAGCAGCUCUUCUAACCUUCCAACUGACAUCUUCAUCAUCCGUGUAUUCAUUAGCACUCUCAUCAUCUUCAUCUUCCUCAAGAAUUUCUUCAUCAAUAUCUUCGUCCAUAUUGUCAGUGAAGUUGGGAUCGUAGCUGAGAUAUUCCAGGGUGAGAUGCAAAAUCUCAUCACAGUAGGAAUAAAUAUCCCGGGGACACCUUAGCAAAAAGCUCUCAAGUGCCUGCAGACUAUAUUCACGAAGCUCCUCAUCA
This 759-nucleotide unclassified non-coding RNA is filed under the name Hevea brasiliensis (rubber tree). The record is from RNAcentral. Lineage: Eukaryota; Viridiplantae; Streptophyta; Magnoliopsida; Malpighiales; Euphorbiaceae.